This 419-nucleotide unclassified non-coding RNA is filed under the name soil metagenome. RNAcentral describes it as "partial contains 5.8S ribosomal RNA, internal transcribed spacer 2, and large subunit ribosomal RNA". The stretch from base 1 to 120 matches the Rfam family "5.8S ribosomal RNA", at positions 35 to 154 of the family's 154-position model. The record is from RNAcentral.
GAUGAAGAACGUAGCGAAAUGCGAUAAGUAAUGUGAAUUGCAGAAUUCAGUGAAUCAUCGAAUCUUUGAACGCACCUUGCGCUCCUUGGUAUUCCUUGGAGCAUGCCUGUUUGAGUAUCAUGAGCAAAUCUCAAAGUCAAUUCCUUUUGUUAAUUCAAUUGGUUUUGCUUUGGACUUGGAGGUCUUGCAGAUUUUCACAGUCUGCUCCUCUUAAAUGCAUUAGCUGGAUCUCAGUAAUUAUGCUUGGUUCCACUCGGCGUGAUAAGUAUCACUCGCUGAGGACACUGUUAAAAAGGUGGCCAGGAAAAUACUGAUUGAACCGCUUCUAACGGUCUAUUAAGUUAGACAAUUACCCUUAAGUUUGAUCUCAAAUCAGGUAGGACUACCCGCUGAACUUAAGCAUAUCAAUAAGCGGAGGA